This is a non-coding RNA of Angiostrongylus costaricensis, 71 nucleotides long. NCBI's taxonomy places the organism in Eukaryota, Metazoa, Nematoda, Chromadorea, Rhabditida, Metastrongylidae. The record is from Rfam.
UCACUGGUGGUUCAGUGGUGGAACGCUCGCCUGCCAAGCGGGCGAGCCGGGUUCGACUCCUGACUAAUGCA